Phoenix dactylifera (date palm) is the source of this 836-nucleotide non-coding RNA. The record is from RefSeq and is a predicted model, not a curated record. NCBI's taxonomy places the organism in Eukaryota, Viridiplantae, Streptophyta, Magnoliopsida, Arecales, Arecaceae.
UGGGACUAAACACACGCCCGCACCGGUCCCGAUAGUCGCCCUCUUUUGUUUAAUAUUCUUUAGCUUUUGAAUAGUUUAAUUUGAAUUUCUAAUCACACCUAAUCACAGUCCAUCUAAAUGCAUGUUUUUCUCAGCUUUCUGUGAAUCCCAACAUCUUUUCACCGAACCACCAGACAAAAGAUGGUCUUAAAAGGCAGGUUGAUAUAUUAAAAUAAAAAAAGCAUAGGUAAGGUCCAUCUCAUAGAAUUGGUUUCAACGGAUACAAGAGAUAAAAAUCCAAACGUUAGGUGCCAAAAGCAAUAGAAAAAAUGUAGAUGAACAAAUCAUCAGUAAUUUAGUGUCUUCAUUUUGUUUCCUAACUUUUGGCAGGAAUGCCUCCUACAAUUGGUUAUGCAACAAUUCACCUCGUGCUUUCCAUCUGACCAAAGUACUAACCUUUUUCUUUUUCUUUUUGUUAGUUUUUUGGCCUGCAGCCGGCCAUUUGCCAUUGUCCGGCAAUAACCAAUCCCAAGCAGCUCUACUACACUCAAACCAUCUUCCUCCACAAUACCUCUCUCUCUCUCUCUCCAUGCAGAAAACAGGCUGGUGCCGCAGGGAGAAGGCAGUGCUUGUGACAGUAUACACCAUAAAGCCAACUAGGAGAAAGGCUUCAUCAAAUAUAAAUCACCACCACCACCAUCAUCAUCACCACUAUCACCAUGUUGAUCGCCACAGACCAAGACCACAUUCAAGUGUUGGCUACGAUCGGAAAGCUGAGCUGCUUCUUUAUGCACAGCACCUGAGGGCACUUGCCCAUGGUGCAACGACACCGGGUUAUGGCACAACAAACUCCUACA